UGAGGAAUAUUGGUCAAUGGGGCAACCCUGAACCAGCCAAGUCGCGUGAAGGAUGAAGGUCUUAUGGAUUGUAAACUUCUUUUACACGGGAAUAAAGCGGGGGACGUGUCCCCCUUUGCAUGUACCGUGUGAAUAAGGAUCGGCUAACUCCGUGCCAGCAGCCGCGGUAAUACGGAGGAUCCGAGCGUUAUCCGGAUUUAUUGGGUUUAAAGGGUGCGCAGGCGGGAUGUUAAGUCGGCGGUGAAAUUUUGCAGCUCAACUGUAAAAGUGCCUUCGAUACUGGCCUCCUUGAGUGUGGAUGAAGUAGGCGGAAUUUGUGGUGUAGCGGUGAAAUGCUUAGAUAUCACGAGGAACUCCGAUUGCGCAGGCAGCUUACUAAGCCACAACUGACGCUCAUGCACGAAGGCGUGGGGAUCAAACA
RNAcentral lists this ribosomal RNA (421 nucleotides) under uncultured bacterium. RNAcentral describes it as "bacterial SSU rRNA". It matches the Rfam family "Bacterial small subunit ribosomal RNA", at positions 355 to 774 of the family's 1533-position model. The record is from RNAcentral.